RNAcentral lists this ribosomal RNA (834 nucleotides) under Orthogonalys pulchella. RNAcentral describes it as "12S ribosomal RNA". Lineage: Eukaryota; Metazoa; Arthropoda; Insecta; Hymenoptera; Trigonalidae. The record is from RNAcentral.
UUUUAUAUGCAUUUUAUUAAAACCAAAUAAAAACAUAAUUUAAUAUUUAAAUAUUAACGCAAUAAAUUACUAUUAAAAGUUAAGAUUUAACUUAAAAUUUAAUUAUAUUAUUUAAAUAUAUAUAAAUAUUUAAAAUUAAAAAUAAACACUAUUAAUAUAUAAAAUUAAAAAUUAAAGAAAUUUAAAAUUUAGAAAUUAAUAAAUAGUUAGUAAAAUAUGUGCCAGCAACUGCGGUUAAACAUAUAACUUAAUUAAAUUUUUUAAUUAUUAAUUAAAUUUACAAAUAAUAUAAAAUAUUAUAUUUAAAAGUCAAAUUUAAAAUAUAAUAUUAAAUAAAUUAUUUUAAUUAAAAUUAAAUAAAUUUCGUAUUAAACUAGGAUUAGAGACCCUAUUAUUAUAAUCAAAAAUAAUAAUUUAUUAUUAAAUGAUUUAUCAUUAAAAUUAACAAUCAUGGCUGUAUUUAAUUUAAAUUAGGGGAACCUACUAAUAAUAGUAGAUACACAAAAUAAAAAACUUAAUUUUAAAUUUAGUGUAUUGUCGUUUUAAAUUUUAUUACAUAUAAAUUAAAAUAUAAUAAUAAUAUAUUAAUAUAAUUAUUAAUAAUCCAGAUCAUAAUACUAUUAUAAUUAAGAAAAAGGUAGGUUACAAUAUAAUUAAUUUACUUAUAUAAAUAUAUAAAUAUAUGAAAUUUUAUAUAAAUUUAGGAUUUAAUAGUAAAUUUAUUAAAUUAAAUAAAUUGAAUUGUUUAAUAAAUGAGUACAAAUAGCCCGUCAUUUUCAUUUAUACAAUGAGACAAGUCGUAACAUAGUAAAAGUACUAGAAAGUGCCUUUAGA